CCGGACUGUAUGGGCUGCGUUCAACAACAAAAGGAAAGAGUGGAGCGGCCAAACUCUAUUCAGAGAAGGAGGAGAAUGGGUCUGCUCUGCAUGGACGAGCAGCUGACAACCAAUCAAAUAAGAAAGAGGACUGAUGCCCCUUGAUUAUGUAGAAGCCCAGAACUAUUGCCAGGUACCGGGAUGGAGAUGGAGAGCGGGAGCAGAUCUGGAACUAGCCUGUGAAUGUAUGCCUUUCCUGACGUCUCCCCUGGAAUGAAUUGCUCGACGAGCAGGUGCCAAGCCGUUGCUAUGUUCACCAUACACUCUGAUCAAAAGCCUCAUGGACGUUCUUUUGACUUAAGCUUGUUGAAAAGGGGACGCCCCUCGUCGCCUCUGCUGUUUGUUUGAGAGUGUAUGAAGGAGAAGAAAAGAGCGAACAUUUUGAAAACAA
Long non-coding RNA from Micropterus dolomieu (smallmouth bass), 430 nucleotides. RefSeq lists it as uncharacterized. The transcript has 3 exons. NCBI's taxonomy places the organism in Eukaryota, Metazoa, Chordata, Actinopteri, Centrarchiformes, Centrarchidae. The record is from RefSeq and is a predicted model, not a curated record.